AUUGAACGCUGGCGGCAUGCCUUACACAUGCAAGUCGAACGGCAGCACGGGUGCUUGCACCUGGUGGCCAGUGGCGAACGGGUGAGUAAUACAUCGGAACAUGUCCUGUAGUGGGGGAUAGCCCGGCGAAAGCCGGAUUAAUACCGCAUACGAUCUACGGAUGAAAGCGGGGGACCUUCGGGCCUCGCGCUAUAGGGUUGGCCGAUGGCUGAUUAGCUAGUUGGUGGGGUAAAGGCCUACCAAGGCGACGAUCAGUAGCUGGUCUGAGAGGACGACCAGCCACACUGGGACUGAGACACGGCCCAGACUCCUACGGGAGGCAGCAGUGGGGAAUUUUGGACAAUGGGCGAAAGCCUGAUCCAGCAAUGCCGCGUGUGUGAAGAAGGCCUUCGGGUUGUAAAGCACUUUUGUCCGGAAAGAAAUCCUUGGCCCUAAUACGGUCGGGGGAUGACGGUACCGGAAGAAUAAGCACCGGCUAACUACGUG
RNAcentral lists this ribosomal RNA (486 nucleotides) under uncultured bacterium. RNAcentral's name for it is "partial 16S ribosomal RNA". It matches the Rfam family "Bacterial small subunit ribosomal RNA", at positions 30 to 507 of the family's 1533-position model. The record is from RNAcentral.